Molecule: ribosomal RNA, 481 nt
Filed under: denitrifying bacterium W14
Lineage: Bacteria; Pseudomonadati; Pseudomonadota; Betaproteobacteria
Description: bacterial SSU rRNA
Rfam family: Bacterial small subunit ribosomal RNA
Source: RNAcentral
UUUGAUCCUGGCUCAGAUUGAACGCUGGCGGCAUGCCUUACACAUGCAAGUCGAACGGCAGCGCGGGAGCAAUCCUGGCGGCGAGUGGCGAACGGGUGAGUAAUACAUCGGAACGUGCCCAAUCGUGGGGGAUAACGCAGCGAAAGCUGUGCUAAUACCGCAUACGAUCUACGGAUGAAAGCAGGGGAUCGCAAGACCUUGCGCGAAUGGAGCGGCCGAUGGCAGAUUAGGUAGUUGGUGAGGUAAAGGCUCACCAAGCCUUCGAUCUGUAGCUGGUCUGAGAGGACGACCAGCCACACUGGGACUGAGACACGGCCCAGACUCCUACGGGAGGCAGCAGUGGGGAAUUUUGGACAAUGGGCGCAAGCCUGAUCCAGCCAUGCCGCGUGCAGGAUGAAGGCCUUCGGGUUGUAAACUGCUUUUGUACGGAACGAAACGGCCUUUUCUAAUAAAGAGGGCUAAUGACGGUACCGUAAGAAUA